RNAcentral lists this transfer RNA (95 nucleotides) under Streptomyces albospinus. Its description in RNAcentral is "tRNA-Met". Lineage: Bacteria; Bacillati; Actinomycetota; Actinomycetes; Kitasatosporales; Streptomycetaceae. The record is from RNAcentral.
GCGCUCGGCGCCGGGGCGUUCGCGUGGCUGGUGUGCAUGGCGCCGGCACUGGUACGGCCGCAGGGGCCGGAGCGGAUCGCCACCGCGCGGGCGCU